UACGUAGGGGGCAAGCGUUGUCCGGAAUUAUUGGGCGUAAAGCGUACGUAGGCUGUUUGAUAAGUCUGUUGUCAAAGCCCGAGGCUUAACCUUGGAAAGGCAAUGGAAACUGUGAGACUAGAGAGAGAUAGGGGCAGGAGGAAUUCCAGGUGUAGCGGUGAAAUGCGUAGAUAUCUGGAAGAACACCAGUGGCGAAAGCGUCCUGCUGGAUCUCAACUGACGCUGAAGUACGAAAGCUAGGGGAGCGAAUGGG
This 253-nucleotide ribosomal RNA is filed under the name uncultured Pseudanabaena sp. RNAcentral describes it as "partial 16S ribosomal RNA". It matches the Rfam family "Bacterial small subunit ribosomal RNA", at positions 524 to 776 of the family's 1533-position model. Lineage: Bacteria; Bacillati; Cyanobacteriota; Cyanophyceae; Pseudanabaenales; Pseudanabaenaceae. The record is from RNAcentral.